Molecule: ribosomal RNA, 571 nt
Filed under: Russula sp.
Lineage: Eukaryota; Fungi; Basidiomycota; Agaricomycetes; Russulales; Russulaceae
Description: partial small subunit ribosomal RNA
Rfam family: Bacterial small subunit ribosomal RNA
Source: RNAcentral
UCAGGCAGUUCCCAAAAUAUUAGUCAAUGCUCGAAAGAGUGAACUAGCUACUGAAUCAAUAAAAUAAUUGAUAACAUAAGGGAAAAUAAUGAUAUUACCUUAUUAUUAGUGUCGUCCAAAACUGGUGCCAGAAGACUCGGUAAGGCCAGAGACACAAACGUUAAUCGUCUUAAUCAGGCGUAAAGGGUUUGUAGGCGGCUUUAAAAUUUACUAACAAAUAAAUAAAUAAAAAGUAAAGAAUAAAAGCUAGAAUCAAAUAGAGGAUAUAUGAAAUAAUGUUUAGAGUAGGUCUGAUAUCCUUAGAUACUAAGUAGAAUAUUAAAGGCGAAAGCUUUUUUCCAUUAAUGAUUGACGCUCAGAAACGAAAGUGAGGAUAGGAAAUAGGAUUUGAUACCCAAAAUACCCCUCUCUGUCAACGAUGAAUGGUAAUUUAUUAGUAUAAUUAUUAAUAAUAAUGUUAACACGAUAACCAUUCCGCCUUGUGAGUACAACUGCAAAGUUGAAAACAAAAAAAUUAGUCGGUUUCGGAGCAAACGAAGUGAAGCAUGUUAUUUAAUUCAAUAAAUCCGCA